Long non-coding RNA from Amphiprion ocellaris (clown anemonefish), 2891 nucleotides. RefSeq lists it as uncharacterized. NCBI's taxonomy places the organism in Eukaryota, Metazoa, Chordata, Actinopteri, Pomacentridae. The transcript is spliced from 2 exons. The record is from RefSeq and is a predicted model, not a curated record.
UCGUGCGAGGGAACACGCGUCCCGCGCUCUCUUCAGAAACAAUCUGGAAAGAAGCGCGGCGCACUGACGUUUCAUUGUUCCAGCUUUGUCCACCUGAUGCAGGUUUCCCAGAGACUAUGGGUUGAGGAGGAAUUGGAAGUUUGUCGGCUUAGACCUGGUGUCAUUCCAUCAGUGUUAAACUUCCCGAUUCAUCUUGGAAGAGUACGUGCCAGAAAGACCACGACCAAGCAGCCUUGAGAUCUUAGGCAGCGUCUCCCUGAGGUGGGUGUCAACGGUGUUCACGGUCAGGUCUGUGAUAAUUCCGUCAAAAAACAAAACAGAAAAAAAUCUAGAUUAUAAAUCAACAUGUAACCAAAGCACUCUGUGUAUAAUGCCAUAGUAUAGGAUGUAGUUCAGAAAAUGUCAAAGUAUAGUAUGCUUUACUCAAGAAUAACAUAGUAUGGCCUGUAGUUCAUAGUACAGCAUGUUGGCAAGAAAAAAAAAACAAAACAUAGAUUAUUAUGUGGUUCAAAAAGCGCAAAAUGAUAGGAUGCUGCCUAAAAUUGUCAUGUAUGAUAUGUGGUUCAAAAAAUGUCAUAGUGCAGUAUAUUGUCAAAAUAGUAUGUAAUUCAAGAAAACAUCAGAGUAUAAUAUGUCAUCUAAAAAAUGCCAUAGAAUAAUAAUUUAAUUGCACAAGUAAAAGUAUAGUAACUUUUAAACCUGUUCGAAUUCUUAUAUGUUGCUAAAAAAAAACAAAAAAAACGUCACAGUAAUAUGUCAAUUUAAAAAGCCUAUAGUAUAGUGUGUCGCCCAACAAACAUCAUAUUAUAGCACGUCGCUCUAAAAACGUCACAGUAUAGCCUUUAGUCCACAGCUGUCAGUAGGUGAAGAGCAACACAAAAACAGUCCAAACGCUGGUUUCCAGAGGGUUAGACGAGAAUUUAUUUGAAAGAGUAAGUUUACAACAACACAACAUGUGAGGGGGUUAAAAACAAAUGGGUGUUAGUAAACAAAAAUAAAUAAACAGAACUAAAAGUGAACUUAAUGUUGACAUUGAUGGGCAUUCCAACCAGGAACAAAGUAAAAGAUAAUCAAUACGAAAAAAAACUCUUCCUGUUCACCUCUUAAAACCCAAAAACACACCGCAGUAGCACCCUAAACUACAACUACCAAUGGGUUCCCUGUUUUCCUUUGUGAACAAUUCAAAGUUCUCUCUCUAUCUCCCCACACAUCCACCAACCAUUGGAACACAUCUCCAAAGUUCUGCCGGGCCAGCUCAGCUUCCCCUCAGAAGAAGUGCUGCCACCUGCCAGAUGAAGGAGCCUUUUGAGAGGCAGCUGGCAUCGUGAUUGGACUGUACUUUGGUCUGUUCCAAUCCAGCUUCAGCUCCAGAGACGGCAGGCGGGACGAGUCAACGGAGGCCUGGUGGACGAAGACAUGCAGCUGAGUACAAUCCAGAAAACAACAGAGGAGGAGUGCAGUGGCCCAGGGCCAGAACAAACAGAGUAGCAUCAUAUGUCUCUUAGAAAACAUCAUAGUAUAGCCUUUGGUAUGAAGAAACGCCAUCAUAUACAUCGUAUAUUGUACAAAUAACAAGUCAAAGCAAAGAGACAUACAUUGUAGAAUUGUAGUAAUUGUGGGCUGAAUGAUUUACUGAUUAUCAGUAUUUAAUUUUUUUACUGAUUUACGGUAAUAAAUACAUUUAAAAAUGGUGCUACUUUGGUUCUGAACCUUUAUCUACCUGUGGUGGCUCUGUCUUCUGGAGUGAUUUGAUUGGUUAUACGUCAUGAAUAAAACUCCUUUAACUUAACAUCUGUAAACCAAACAAAAGUGUAUCAACAAAGUUUUCUGUUCGAGUUUGUGUUCUUCAAAGUUUAACUCCAAGAUUUUAAAUACUUUCAUUUACUGCAAAUGAAUAUCUACUCCAAAUGUUUCACUAAUAAUCAUUAUCAGCCUUAAAAACCCACAAAACACCCCUCUAUACUCGACCACACUUAGUACAGUCCGGUUCCUCCUUCUAUAAAUCUGCUUGGAAUCUUCCACUUCCUGUUUGUCAAAGUGGCCUUCUACCUGGACAGGUUUUGUUGGAGCUCAUGCAGCAAACAUUUUGGGUAACUGCACUUUAAUAUGGAUGGAUGACACUGAAUUAGAGUCUGUUUUCAUGAGACUGAGUUAAGAUAUGUAGCUCUGUCAUUAAAUAGUAAAUUAUUUCUCUGAAUUUACAGAGAAAAGUCUGAAAUGUUUGCUAGGUUAGCGUCCCACAUGUACUUUGGUUCAGCUAAAGCUAACUCUCUCCAACUUCUGGAUCUCUUGAGUUGCUUGUUGUUAAAAUAUCUUGCUAGACGUGCUGAAGCUCAGAAAGUCUGAGAUGUUUGUUCAAAAUAAGCUCAUUCUCAAGUCUUAUCUGAACUAUUUUGUUUGAACUUUCCCUAAACUUAGGAGUUAAUGACAGAGCAGCACAUUCAGACUCAGUCUCAUUUAUGUAGAGAUUCAACUUCAGUGUCAUUCAUUGAUGUUAAAGUGCAGUUUUUCAAAUGUUUGUUGCACAUGCUCCCGACCAAACCAGUUCAGGUGGAAGACGAUGUGAAGAGAAAGCUCGAGGAUGAAUAUCACACAUUUACAUUGGAAAUAAAUGUCCUUUAAUUAGACAUUGUCAUGCAAAAGUUGGAUUUCCCUUUAAUGAUGUUCAAAUCUUUGUUGAGUGUUUUGUUGAUGUUGGUUUCUAAAUGUUUUCUGACACUCGGCCCCAAAGAUUAAAACCUUCUACGGCUCACAAGCUGCAACAAUUCACACAUUAUCAACUAUCUUUUUGACUAAACUAAGAUAAAAAGUGAAAAACUGCCUGAUUCCUGCAUCAUGAAUGUAAAUCUUUUUGGUUUUUAUGACAGUAAACUGAAUAUAUUUGGGUUUGA